CAAGCAAUAUUAUGCAUUGGAAGUACUUUGUCCAUACCUUUUAUUCUCGGGGACAAGUUAUGUACCAACUUAUUUCCAGCACAAGAAAAAGCCAAUGUCAUAGCCCAACUUUUAAGUAUCUCUAUGUUUAUGUGUGGACUUGCUACACUUUUACAAACAACGUUUGGGGUAAGACUAGGAAUAAUACAAGGAGGGUCGCAUGUUUUCAUUGCUCCAAUCGUUGCCAUGAUGUCUCUAGAAAAAUGGAAAUGUCCAACAAGUCUUGAAAUUCCAGCAGCAAAUGAAACAAAUAUUACGACUUUUAUGAGCCAGGAUCAGAAAGAUGAGUUGUGGCAGAGCAGACUCCGA
Mytilus californianus (California mussel) is the source of this 348-nucleotide long non-coding RNA. RefSeq lists it as uncharacterized. The record is from RefSeq and is a predicted model, not a curated record. Lineage: Eukaryota; Metazoa; Mollusca; Bivalvia; Mytilida; Mytilidae. The transcript has 3 exons.